This 305-nucleotide ribosomal RNA is filed under the name uncultured bacterium. RNAcentral's name for it is "bacterial SSU rRNA". It matches the Rfam family "Bacterial small subunit ribosomal RNA", at positions 337 to 639 of the family's 1533-position model. The record is from RNAcentral.
CCCUACGGGGGGCAGCAGUGAGGAAUAUUGGUCAAUGGUCGGGAGACUGAACCAGCCAAGCCGCGUGAGGGAGGAAGGUACAGAGUAUCGUAAACCUCUUUUGUCAGGGAACAAAGGCGGGGACGUGUCCCCGGAUGAGUGUACCUGAAGAAAAAGCAUCGGCUAACUCCGUGCCAGCAGCCGCGGUAAUACGUAGGGGGCAAGCGUUAUCCGGAUUUACUGGGUGUAAAGGGAGCGUAGACGGCUGUGCAAGUCUGAAGUGAAAGCCCGUGGCUCAACCGCGGAACUGCUUUGGAAACUGUAUA